Molecule: ribosomal RNA, 433 nt
Filed under: uncultured bacterium
Lineage: Bacteria
Description: partial 16S ribosomal RNA
Rfam family: Bacterial small subunit ribosomal RNA
Source: RNAcentral
AACGAACGCUGGCGGCAUGCCUAACACAUGCAAGUCGAACGAGACCUUCGGGUCUAGUGGCGCACGGGUGCGUAACGCGUGGGAACCUGCCCUUAGGUUCGGAAUAACUCCCCGAAAGGGGUGCUAAUACCGGAUAAUGUCUUCGGACCAAAGAGUUAUCGCCUUUGGAUGGGGCCGGGUUGGAUUCGCUAGUUGGUAGGGUAAAAGCCUACCAAGGCGACGAUCCAUAGCUGGUCUGAGAGGAUGAUCAGCCACACUGGGACUGAGACACGGCCCAGACUCCUACGGGAGGCAGCAGUGGGGAAUAUUGGACAAUGGGCGAAAGCCUGAUCCAGCAAUGCCGCGUGAGUGAUGAAGGCCUUAGGGUUGUAAAGCUCUUUUACCCGGGAUGAUAAUGACAGUACCGGGAGAAUAAGCUCCGGCUAACUCCGUG